Molecule: ribosomal RNA, 450 nt
Filed under: uncultured prokaryote
Description: bacterial SSU rRNA
Rfam family: Bacterial small subunit ribosomal RNA
Source: RNAcentral
UAGGGAAUUUUGGGCAAUGGGCGAAAGCCUGACCCAGCAACGCCGCGUGUGGGAUGAAGGCCCUCGGGUCGUAAACCACUGUCAGGAGGGAAGAACUGCACCGGAGCUAAUACUUCCGGUGUUUGACGGUACCUCCAAAGGAAGCGCCGGCUAACUCCGUGCCAGCAGCCGCGGUAAUACGGAGGGCGCAAGCGUUGUUCGGAAUCACUGGGCGUAAAGCGCGUGCAGGUGGUUCGGUAAGUCGGGUGUGAAAUCCCCGGGCUCAACCCGGGAACUGCAUCCGAAACUGCCGAGCUAGAGUCCCGGAGAGGAAGGCAGAAUUCCCAAUGUAGGGGUGAAAUCCGUAGAUAUUGGGAGGAAUACCAGUUGCGAAGGCGGCCUUCUGGACGGUGACUGACACUCAGACGCGAAAGCGUGGGGAGCAAACAGGAUUAGAUACCCCCGUAGUCC